This 62-nucleotide transfer RNA is filed under the name marine eukaryotic metagenome. It matches the Rfam family "tRNA", at positions 6 to 65 of the family's 71-position model. Rfam says of the family: Transfer RNA (tRNA) molecules are approximately 80 nucleotides in length. Their secondary structure includes four short double-helical elements and three loops (D, anti-codon, and T loops). The record is from RNAcentral.
CCGUAGCUCAGUGGUAGAGCACCGCAUUCGUAAUGCGGCGGUCGGCGGUUCAAGUCCGCCCG